GCGUUAAUGGAGCUGUUUGUGUGGGCGCUGGAUAGCGAAGUCAAAAGCCUGCACCGCCAUAACGUUCGCCUGCGUA
Molecule: transfer RNA, 76 nt
Filed under: Salmonella sp. FORC89
Lineage: Bacteria; Pseudomonadati; Pseudomonadota; Gammaproteobacteria; Enterobacterales; Enterobacteriaceae
Description: tRNA-Thr
Source: RNAcentral